RNAcentral lists this ribosomal RNA (396 nucleotides) under uncultured Bacteroidota bacterium. RNAcentral's name for it is "bacterial SSU rRNA". It matches the Rfam family "Bacterial small subunit ribosomal RNA", at positions 11 to 412 of the family's 1533-position model. Lineage: Bacteria; Pseudomonadati; Bacteroidota. The record is from RNAcentral.
GUUUGAUCCUGGCUCAGGAUGGACGCUAGCGGGAGGCUUAACACAUGCAAGUCGAGGGGUAUAGUAGCAAUACUAGAGACCGGCGCACGGGUGAGUAACGCGUAUGCAACCUGCCUUUUACAGGGGGAUAGCCCGUCGAAAGGCGGAUUAAUACCCCAUAAGAUGGUGCCUCCGCAUGGAGGAGCCAUAAAAGCUUCGGCGGUAAAUGAUGGGCAUGCGUGACAUUAGCUAGUUGGCAGGGUAACGGCCUACCAAGGCUGCGAUGUCUAGGGGUUCUGAGAGGAAGGUCCCCCACACUGGUACUGAGACACGGACCAGACUCCUACGGGAGGCAGCAGUGAGGAAUAUUGGUCAAUGGGCGCGAGCCUGAACCAGCCAUCCCGCGUGCAGGAAGAC